UACGUAGGGUGCAAGCGUUAAUCGGAAUUACUGGGCGUAAAGCGUGCGCAGGCGGUGAUGUAAGACAGGUGUGAAAUCCCCGGGCUCAACCUGGGAAUUGCGAUGGAGACUGCAAGGCUAGAAUCUGGCAGAGGGGGGUAGAAUUCCACGUGUAGCAGUGAAAUGCGUAGAGAUGUGGAGGAACACCGAUGGCGAAGGCAGCCCCCUGGGUCAAGAUUGACGCUCAUGCACGAAAGCGUGGGGAGCAAACAGG
RNAcentral lists this ribosomal RNA (253 nucleotides) under uncultured bacterium. RNAcentral describes it as "partial 16S ribosomal RNA". It matches the Rfam family "Bacterial small subunit ribosomal RNA", at positions 524 to 776 of the family's 1533-position model. The record is from RNAcentral.